RNAcentral lists this ribosomal RNA (465 nucleotides) under uncultured Rhodocyclaceae bacterium. RNAcentral's name for it is "partial 16S ribosomal RNA". Lineage: Bacteria; Pseudomonadati; Pseudomonadota; Betaproteobacteria; Rhodocyclales; Rhodocyclaceae. The record is from RNAcentral.
GACUACAGGGGUAUCUAAUCCUGUUUGCUCCCCACGCUUUCGUGCAUGAGCGUCAGUAUUGGCCCAGGGGGCUGCCUUCGCCAUCGGUGUUCCUCCACAUCUCUACGCAUUUCACUGCUACACGUGGAAUUCCACCCCCCUCUGCCAAACUCCAGCCUGGCAGUCUCAAAUGCAGUUCCCAGGUUGAGCCCGGGGAUUUCACAUCUGACUUACCAAACCGCCUGCGCACGCUUUACGCCCAGUAAUUCCGAUUAACGCUCGCACCCUACGUAUUACCGCGGCUGCUGGCACGUAGUUAGCCGGUGCUUCUUAUUCGGGUACCGUCAUCUACACAGGGUAUUAACCCGUGCAAUUUCUUCCCCGCCGAAAGAGCUUUACAACCCGAAGGCCUUCUUCACUCACGCGGCAUGGCUGGAUCAGGCUUGCGCCCAUUGUCCAAAAUUCCCCACUGCAGCCCCCCGUAGG